RNAcentral lists this ribosomal RNA (466 nucleotides) under uncultured bacterium. RNAcentral's name for it is "partial 16S ribosomal RNA". It matches the Rfam family "Bacterial small subunit ribosomal RNA", at positions 28 to 507 of the family's 1533-position model. The record is from RNAcentral.
GAUGAACGCUGGCGGCGUGCUUAACACAUGCAAGUCGAACGGAAAGGCUCCUGCUUGCAGGGGUACUCGAGUGGCGAACGGGUGAGUAACACGUGGGUGAUCUGCCCUGCACUUCGGGAUAAGCCUGGGAAACUGGGUCUAAUACCGGAUAGGACGAUGGUUUGGAUGCCAUUGUGGAAAGUUUUUUCGGUGUGGGAUGAGCUCGCGGCCUAUCAGCUUGUUGGUGGGGUAAUGGCCUACCAAGGCGUCGACGGGUAGCCGGCCUGAGAGGGUGUACGGCCACAUUGGGACCGAGAUACGGCCCAGACUCCUACGGGAGGCAGCAGUGGGGAAUAUUGCACAAUGGGCGCAAGCCUGAUGCAGCGACGCCGCGUGGGGGAUGACGGCCUUCGGGUUGUAAACUCCUUUCGCUAGGGACGAAGCGCAAGUGACGGUACCUGGAGAAGAAGCACCGGCUAACUACGUG